UAGGGAAUUUUGCGCAAUGGCCUAACGGCUGACGCAGCAACGCCGCGUGACUGAUGAAGUUCUAAGGAACGUAAAGGUCUGUUAGGAGGGAAGAACGGCGCUAUAGUAAAUAAUUAUAGUGCAUGACGGUACCUCCAGAGAAAGCACCGGCUAACUCCGUGCCAGCAGCCGCGGUAAUACGGGGGGUGCAAGCGUUGUCCGGAAUCACUGGGCGUAAAGGGUGGGUAGGCGGACCGGGAAGUCCGGAGUGCAACCUGGCUGCUUAACGGACAAUCCGCGUUGGAUACUGUCGGUCUUGAG
RNAcentral lists this ribosomal RNA (300 nucleotides) under uncultured prokaryote. RNAcentral's name for it is "bacterial SSU rRNA". It matches the Rfam family "Bacterial small subunit ribosomal RNA", at positions 355 to 646 of the family's 1533-position model. The record is from RNAcentral.